This 350-nucleotide transfer-messenger RNA is filed under the name Candidatus Spyradocola merdavium. It matches the Rfam family "transfer-messenger RNA". Rfam says of the family: Bacterial tmRNA, also known as 10Sa RNA or SsrA, is named for its dual tRNA and mRNA-like properties. Lineage: Bacteria; Bacillati; Bacillota; Clostridia; Christensenellales; Christensenellaceae. RNAcentral also lists the same sequence under 2 other names. The record is from RNAcentral.
GGGGGUGUACUGGUUUCGACGGGGACGCCGGGGAGGCGUCAAGCGAGCCGCAGCCCUGCACCUGCGUCAACAAGCGGGACCUAAAAAUGAACUGACAAUUCUAACGAAUUGGCUUUCGCCGCCUAACGGCGACGUCGGCCCCAGGCCACCUGCAGCCUGGGAUCCCGGCGUCAGAAAUGCAGGGACCGAACCGGCCUAAGCUUUGCGGCCGGCCGUACGGAUGAAGCUACUGAACCCAUGACCCUGUCUGCGGGGGCUUGGCAGAGGGAACGUUAAAACACAGACUGCGCUCGGAGAAAGGCGUCUUGACGGGUUUUCGGACAGGGGUUCGACUCCCCUCACCUCCACCA